Molecule: non-coding RNA, 320 nt
Organism: Notechis scutatus (mainland tiger snake)
Lineage: Eukaryota; Metazoa; Chordata; Lepidosauria; Squamata; Elapidae
Source: RefSeq, a predicted model, not a curated record
CUAAUCAAAAGUAAUGCCAGUACUGAAUUUGUGGAUUUCUCCAAAUCAAAGAGAAUUAACCAAACGGAGGGUUUUCCAGGGUUCCCAGCAACCAUUUUCUGAGACGCUUCCAUAUUUUGGGGAUGCUAUGGUUCAUUACAAGUGCAAAUGACAUUUUCUUUGCCUGUACUAAGGAUGAACAAAUUAUGGCAAUCUAGAAACUACAAUUAAACUCCCAGAAUUACGAAACUGUGUCUAGGCAAGGAUAAAGCAGAGAAAUGUAUGCUGGACCUAGACCUACAUACUUGUACCCAUGAAAAUCUAUGAAAACAAAUUAUAUA